Molecule: ribosomal RNA, 1122 nt
Filed under: Ceratocystiopsis rollhanseniana
Lineage: Eukaryota; Fungi; Ascomycota; Sordariomycetes; Ophiostomatales; Ophiostomataceae
Description: bacterial SSU rRNA
Rfam family: Bacterial small subunit ribosomal RNA
Source: RNAcentral
AAUACCUUAUAUAAUAAAGGAAAAAAAAUUCCGCCUUAAGACGAAUAGAAAAGUAUAGGGAUAGGUAGUAGUAAAGGUAACGGCUUCACUAGCCUAAUAUUCUCUUAGUCGAAACUGAGAUGGUUGAUCGACCACAUUGGGAAUGAGAAAAGCCCAAGGCAAGGAAGUACAGCAGUGGGGAAUUUUGGUCAAUGGCCUAACGGCUGAACUGGCAAUUUGGAGGAAUGACCUAUCUUAUUUAGUAAUAAUAAGAAUUAGAUUGAAAUGGUACAAUUAAUUAUUAAAUGAAAUUCUAAAUAUAUAACAUUAUAAUGACUAAAUAUAUUUAUGUCUUGACUAAUUACGUGCCAGCAGUCGCGGUAAUACGUAAGAGACUAGUGUUAUUCAUCUUUAGUAGGUUUAAAGGGUACUUAAACGGAAGAAAUUACCUAAACAAGGUAUAAUUUCUAUCUAGAGUUUAAUAUGAAAAGGUAGAACUUGAGGAGUAGAGAUACAAUGCGCUAAUACCUAAUAGAGGACAAGUUAAGGCUAAUGCGACCUUUUAUGUAAAAACUGACGUUGAAGGACGAAGGCUUAGAGAGCGAAUAGGAUUAGAGACCCUAGUAGUCUAAGCAGAAAAUGAUGGAUGCCAUAGGUUAGGAUUACUUAGUCUAUAAAUGAAAGUGUAAGCAUUUCACCUCAAGAGUAACAUGGCAACAUGGGAACUGUAAUCACCAGGCCGUUUCUGACAACAGUAGUGAAGUAUGUUACUUAAUUCGAUGACCCACGAAAAUCUUACCACGAUCAGUAUAAUAUAUUAAUAAUAUAAUACGUUAUAAUAUAUUACGAGUGUUGCACGGCUGUUUUCGGUUAAUGUUGUGAAACUGUGGUUGAGGCCAUGCAAUUAACGUAAACCUUUGCUUUAUUUAUAUAUAUAUUUUUUUAUAAAGCUGUUUUUAUCUGGAAAACGAUAAAAUAAUAGGGCCAAAGACAAGUCAUCAUGACCUUUAAAUCGUGGGCUGUAGACGUGCCACAUUUACCUAGACAAAGACCCCCCUAAUUUUUAAAUUUAAGCUAAUCUCAAAAAAUAGGAUAAAACAUCCUCCAUUGUAGUCUGAAACUCGACUACAUAAAUAAGUAAUU